GUAUUUUUGAAAAGAAUUUCAUAUUAUAUCUACCUUGAGCAAAGCCACUAAAAUCUAGUUCCAAUGACUUUAGGCUAAACAUUUGAAAAGCUCCUUGAGUAUUAUAACCAACACAUAGGGUUUGAUUCUGUGUGAAUUUACCUGUACAUGGAGUCAUUGAGAGGAAUGACCAAAACCACUGGAGGUUUGAAAAAUACUUGUUUUUGUAAAAUGUCAUCUGGUGUGACAUAGUGAACAAUAUUCAAAUCUAGUUGAUUGGUGCCAGCACAAAACUUGAAAUUUUGGUCAAUGGCCAGUAACAUAACAUGACCCUCGUUCUUCUGUGCCUAGUGCAAAUAGAAAGCAGUCAGAUUUCAAAAAUUGCUUGUAACUCGCAUUUUGAAUUUCCAUGCUACAAAUGCAAGUGACCUGUAUAAAAAAGUAAGAGGAUUUAUAAAAGUAUUUGAAUGAAUCUCAACUAAACUAUACCUUAUGAGAAACACUCCAAGAAUUUAAAAUCAUUGACGUGACAUAAUUGUAAAGAGCUACAGCAGUGCCAGUAUUGGAACUCUAACCGACAAGGGCAAGAUUUUAAUUUGGAAUUCAUGCUACACAAGUGAUUUCAAAUUCUUGUCCUUGUGGACAUUGGAAAUGUCUAAUCUGCACUCUGCUGUAUGUUGUUGACACAACAUAAACCAAACACCAAGUUGGACUCUGAAAACAAAAAUCAGAAUAAUAGUUUUGGGUAACAUCUAUAAGAAGACAUUAUCCUUACCAGUUAAAGAUCCAUGAAUAAUAUUUCGACAUUCUUUAUCUGCCGAGUUCACCAGUGAAGACGAGAAUUUCACAGCAGACUUCACAUCGACGGGCUCAAUCCACUCUAUAUUCUCGAAUUAGUUUUAAAGCCUUUCGAUUUAAUUCAAACUAGUUAUGAUUAUAGUUUUGAAAACAAGAGAGAACUUCAAGUAUUUCCUUUACACAUCUUACGUUUACCCACGUUUUGUAAACUGAUAUCCACAAACAAAAUACAAUUUUCAAAAUUGCCUAUGGCAAAAAGGCUUCUUAGGGGGGAAAAUGUGGCUGCCCUAAUGCUGAUAAUUACUUUUUUGCUGAUUAGCACUUGUUUUUUAAUAUUUUUAAAUAUUGAAAAAAAGUUUAACUCGGCAUCAUAACAAACAAGGUAAAAUAAGGAUAAUUUUCAAUAACAAUUAUAGAUAAUGCAAAUAAUAAGAAACGGAAAAAGAUCCCGAAAAUUUUUGUACCAAUAAUGUUUAUUUUAACCAUAAUAAUAGACAAUCUACUGUAAAAUGUAAACGCAACUUGAAUCUAUGUAGUCUAAGUCUUGCACAAUUUUCCAUCGCUGCAGCGGACACGAACAUCGUAGCGAACUGGGUCUGCAAUAAAACAGGUUGUCAAUCUACUAAUAAUGAAUAAACGUUACGACUGACAGUAUUGGCUUUAUCAGUUAUUUACAGCCAAAGUAUGAGUUUCAUAAGAAAUCAAACGGUAACUCGUUUUCAUCACGUCAACAUCCUAUCAUGUGAAUUAUGCGGAAAUUACCUCUACACGGACCCAAGGAAGCACAUUCUACGGGCCGACUUCAUAUUCAUAAUGCACCUCAGCUGAAACGAAUCCUACAGAAAAUAAGCCUUUUAGUAAAGAUACUUUGUAAAAAUGUAAGAAUCUACUUUGUUUUAAUCAGAUCUUCUUAGAGGUAGACUGCUCAUGGUUAAUGCAGCACAAGUUUUGUCAUCAUACAAUAAAAAGAAGGAUGAAAAUAA
RNAcentral lists this long non-coding RNA (1760 nucleotides) under Daphnia pulex (common water flea). Its description in RNAcentral is "uncharacterized LOC124201824". Lineage: Eukaryota; Metazoa; Arthropoda; Branchiopoda; Diplostraca; Daphniidae. The record is from RNAcentral.